Macaca mulatta (Rhesus monkey) is the source of this 1313-nucleotide long non-coding RNA. RefSeq lists it as uncharacterized. Lineage: Eukaryota; Metazoa; Chordata; Mammalia; Primates; Cercopithecidae. The record is from RefSeq and is a predicted model, not a curated record.
GUAGUUCGGACUACAGGUGCAUGACAUCAUCCCUGGCUAAGAGAUAGCACCUCGCCAUGUUUCCCGGUCUGGUCUUGAACUCCUGGGCUCAAGCAAUCUUCUUGCCUUGGCCUCCCAGAGAGCUGGAAUUAUGGGAUUACAAACAUGAGUUACCAUGCCUGGCUGAUCCCAAUUUCUUCUGACUGGAAAGGACUCAGCCAAUUCUGAUCAGCAGGCAGCAGCCAUUACCCUCCGAAGGUCAGCGCAGUUAGGUGUGGUGACAGACACACUUGGAGGUGCCACAGCCUCCUGCGUGUCCUUGUACUCCUUGUCCAUUUGGUCGUCUUCACUGUGGGGCAUCUUCCUGGCCAACGAUAGCUCCAGACCAUCUUCAGGUGCUUGGCUGAAAACCCACAGAAGAAGUAGCUUGCUGUAGACGUCUCCUCUGCCUUCAGGGACCAGUUUUGGCAACGCGACAAGCUUGAUUUCUCAGACCGGCUAAUUGGUGACUCCUCCGCUCUGCCAACUUCCCUCUGAUACCUUCGCUUCUCUAGCUCCUCCCGCAACUGGCAAGGUCUCGUUCCUGUAAUAGAUCUCUCAUCGCAUGACCCAUUCUGGUUCUGCCCACCUGACGAACCCUGGAGGGUGCCCCUGAGUAUUACCAUCUGCUGCAGUGGGCAAUGUUCUCUGUCCCUUGAGGUUAUGGAAUUUCUGUCUUAUUCCACUUCAGAGAAGUAGAGUGUGUUCUAGCCCAGGAAGGACACUCACUCUGAUUUUGGCAGGUUCUAAAUCUGUCAUAACCUCACACAUCCAGUUAUUCAUGGACAAGGGAACAUGAGCUCAAUCUGACUUUAUGUUCUGCUUUUGGAGAGAAAGUGGGUGACCUGAUGUGUUUCUGAGAAACGAGUCUAGGGAGGUGUGUGCCCCACUCUCUGCUCGCUGCAGAUGUCCCCAUUGCAAGCACAUUUGUACCCCAGUGCUUGUCUUCACCUUUAUGACGUCCUCCCAGGUGAGAAAUCACCCAAGUGGUCAUGGCCACCUCCCACUAUUUCAGUGUUCGGGGUUUUGGAAAUGAUUUACUGACAUUGUAUCAGAGCAUAGUAACAUUUAAUCAGGGGCUGGCUUUCUCAAGGACAAAUAUUUUCUGCCAUCAGUUCCUAAGCAGAAGAGGCCAACAGCAUCUGAGGAUCCCUUUGUCUGGGUUUCUGGCAGUUACCUCCCUUCCCAGGGUGAACAGCGACUCCGUUGCGCAAGGAUUGACUUAUCUUCCUGCCCUGUGUUUCUGACAUUGUGAACAAAGUUUCUGGGGAAGUAAACUUUAUGUUUAAACCAUG